CAAAGCUGCAAAAAUGAGAAGGGAAAUAAGGUUAGAGAAAGGAUCCAGGCAAUCAUAAGGACUGAGGAAGACAUGUUCCCCAACCCUGGAACUCACAAACCCUGAAGCUCAAGGAUUGCAUCCUUCCUCCAAAUCUCACUCAACAUAGUAAGUGCAGAACAUGCCAAAGCACUGUAUGAAACACUAGGGACAAAGACAAGGUCAAAAUCCUUGUAACCACAUGUGAUGGUAUUGUAGUGUAGUGUUAACACAGGGAACAGUAACAGAACACCCAAGAACCAAACAGAAGAGUGUAGGGAUAAGCAUAAAUGACGUAACAUGAAAUAAACUUCUAAAUGGAAAACUUGUCCAUACCCCCAGGGCAACAGUCAACUACAGUCUUCCAAAGGACAUAAAUUGCACUUAGGGCACACUAGACAGAAAACAAUACUGUGGGGCCGGGCGCGGUGGCUCAUGCUUGUAAUCCCAGCACU
This is a long non-coding RNA of Nomascus leucogenys (northern white-cheeked gibbon), 473 nucleotides long. RefSeq lists it as uncharacterized. The transcript is spliced from 3 exons. The record is from RefSeq and is a predicted model, not a curated record. NCBI's taxonomy places the organism in Eukaryota, Metazoa, Chordata, Mammalia, Primates, Hylobatidae.